RNAcentral lists this small RNA (571 nucleotides) under Pongo abelii (Sumatran orangutan). RNAcentral's name for it is "processed transcript". Lineage: Eukaryota; Metazoa; Chordata; Mammalia; Primates; Hominidae. The record is from RNAcentral.
GCCCCUUCCUGGGGCUGGAGCAGCCGAGGAGGCCCUCUCCUGAAGCUGAGACUGUGUCCUUCCGGGGGAACCCGAGGACGCUGGACCUUACACUUUAAAGAGGCCGAGGACCACAGCUGCGCAGAUGUCUUUGCAGCGGCUGCGUAGGCACCACUGGCCUGGGGUGCUUCAAGGAUGACCGCAUCGUCUUCUGGACUUGGAUGUUCUCCACCUACUUCAUGGAGAAAUGGGCUCCCCGGCAGGACGACAUGCUUUUCUAUGUGCGCCGGAAGCUGGCUUACUCCAGCAGCGAAAGCGGUGCAGACGGGAGGAAGGCAGCUGAGCCCGAGGUGGAGGUGGAGGUGUACCGGCGGGACUCCAAGAAGCUGCCAGGCCUGGGAGACCCUGACAUCGACUGGGAAGAGAGCGUCUGCCUGAACCUCAUCCUGCAGAAGCUGGACUACAUGGUGACCUGUGCGGUGUGCACACGUGCUGACGGCGGGGACAUUCACAUCCAUAAGAAGAAAUCUCAGCAAGUGUUCGCGUCCCCCAGUAAACACCCCAUGGACAGCAAGGGGGAGGAGUCCAAGAU